This 250-nucleotide ribosomal RNA is filed under the name uncultured prokaryote. RNAcentral's name for it is "partial 16S ribosomal RNA". It matches the Rfam family "Bacterial small subunit ribosomal RNA", at positions 524 to 774 of the family's 1533-position model. The record is from RNAcentral.
UACGUAGGGGGCGAGCGUUAUCCGGAACUAUUGGGCGUAAAGAGUACGUAGGUGGUUUUGUAAGCGGUGGGUGAAAGCCCGGGGCUUAACUCCGGCGAGCCUAUCGAACUGCAAGACUUGAGUGCAGGAGGGGAAAGUGGAAUUCCUAGUGUAGCGGCGAAAUGCGUAGAUAUUAGGAGGAACACCAGUGGCGAAGGCGACUUUCUGGACUGUAACUGACACUGAGGUACGAAAGCGUGGGGAGCAAACA